UACAGAGGUCUCAAGCGUUGUUCGGAUUCAUUGGGCGUAAAGGGUGCGUAGGUGGCGCCGUAAGUCGGGUGUGAAAUUUCGGAGCUUAACUCCGAAACUGCAUUCGAUACUGCGGUGCUUGAGGACUGGAGAGGAGACUGGAAUUUACGGUGUAGCAGUGAAAUGCGUAGAGAUCGUAAGGAAGACCAGUGGCGAAGGCGGGUCUCUGGACAGUUCCUGACGCUGAGGCACGAAGGCCAGGGGAGCAAACGGG
This 253-nucleotide ribosomal RNA is filed under the name uncultured bacterium. Its description in RNAcentral is "partial 16S ribosomal RNA". It matches the Rfam family "Bacterial small subunit ribosomal RNA", at positions 524 to 776 of the family's 1533-position model. The record is from RNAcentral.